GAGACCCACGCCAACAGUUGCCAGCUCGUCCUCCGGGAUGGWGGGGACACUGUUGGGACCGCCUCUGCUAAAGAGGAGGAAGGAAUGGGCAACGGUAGGUCAGCAUGCCCCGAAUUAACUGGGCUACACGCGGGCUACAAUGGGUGGGACAAUGGGUAUCGACACCGAAAGGUGAAGGCAAUCUCCUAAACCCAUCCGUAGUUCGGAUUGUGGGCUGCAACUCGCCCACAUGAAGCUGGAAUCCGUAGUAAUCGUGUCUCAAAAUGGCACGGUGAAUAU
This 279-nucleotide ribosomal RNA is filed under the name uncultured archaeon. Its description in RNAcentral is "partial 16S ribosomal RNA". It matches the Rfam family "Archaeal small subunit ribosomal RNA", at positions 1047 to 1324 of the family's 1478-position model. The record is from RNAcentral.